This 1681-nucleotide long non-coding RNA is filed under the name Triticum aestivum (bread wheat). RNAcentral's name for it is "long non-coding RNA (TAES_LNC009774)". The record is from RNAcentral. Lineage: Eukaryota; Viridiplantae; Streptophyta; Magnoliopsida; Poales; Poaceae.
UGACCUGCGCCCUCUGCUCCAAUCUCCAUCGACUCUGACUCUGCUAGCUGCUGCUGCUGUUCUGGUGCUGUGGUUUCGUUUCUGAAUUCAGAGUGCGUGCGUUGUUGUUCCGUCGGUCUGUGUAGUUAGUGGAUGGCGAUGGAUCUGAAUGCAGUUAGUUCGUCAGAGUGCGUGUGUUGUCUGUGGAAGGAGAUAAAUAUGAAUGCAAUGGGAUUGUUGGUUUCUUCUAUUUGAAUCUGGUCACCACCAACUUGUUAUGCCACUAAAAAAUUUCUCAGCAGAGGAAGUUAGUUGCGGUAAUUUUCGUUUGGAUUUUCAUACCAUGCGCGCACAGAGAUCGAAAUAGGUAGGGGACUCUGUUUCUAUUUCGUUGUGCUGUCUGUUCCCAAACAUAGCUCCUCUGCAGCCGUAUGUCAACGAGGUGGAAGGGGAUGGCGGUCCAACUGACUCCAUCUGAAGAGGUGCUGCUGUUUAGAUCCUACUCCCUACAUGCCAGCUGGAGUAGCUGAAGUUUAUCUCUGAUGCAUCAUGAUCCUACUCCCUACUCUUGGCGUUGGAAUGCUGUACUUGGCGCCUGAUCAUGGAACCAGAUCCUCUAACAUUGCCAAGGAAAGUCAUCGUGCUACCGUGUUUGCCUAGUGUAAAAUAAAGAAAAAAAGUUAGGGACUGUUAUUAGGUAUAGUUAGUAGGUUGUUUACUCUUGGUAUUUACUGUAGAUAUAAAUAAUUUAAUUUUAAUUUUAUUUCACCAUCAAUUUGUUUGUACUCCCUCCAUUUCACAAUGUAGUGCUUCCUUUAUUCUUGUGCUUCAACUUUGACCGUAAAUUUAACUAACAAGACCGAUUGCGGCGGGAGCAAAAAUUAUAUCAGUGAAUUCGUAUUCGAAAGAAGUUUUCAAUUAUAUAAUUUUUUCUCCUGCCGUAGUUGGUUUCGUUGGUUAAAUUUAUGGUCAAAGUUAGAUCUCGGAAAGCGCGGGCGCACUAUAUUUUGGAAUGGAGGAAGUAUGUAAUUAAUAUAAAUGUACACAAUAGAUCAUCAAUUUGCAAAUUAAUUUAAAUCAUUUUAGCCAUAAUCAUAUGAAUAUAAAGAAGAAAAGUUAGCGCAUUGUACCUUCUCUAACUUUCCUUCUCAAUGUUAGAGGAUCCGGUUCCCCUGAUCAUGGGCUUCAUGAUGAAAAGGAAGCCGGAAGUGAUCUUUUCUGUAAUAAUAGUUGGUUACCCAGAAACGUUCUCUGAAUUUAUGUGUUAUUUUUGUAAUCAGAUACACUGUACUCCCUCCGUUCCUAAAUAAGUAGAUGAUGUUUGGUAGUUUAAUUUGAACUACCAAAACGUCAUGUAUUUAGGAGCGGACGAAGUAUGUUCUAAAAUUUGGUGAUGUCAAUUUUUUUAGUUCAGUUAAAUCAAAUGGUUAUAGAGUUGCACAUUGCUCAAUAUAAAAGCUCGCUAACUUGUAGUGACGUGAGAGAGAGAAAAAAAAAUCUUACAAUCAUCUUAUGCUACUACUUUGUCAGCUGCUAUUUUGCUUCCCCUAAAAAAAGUUGUUAUUUUGCUACAGGGACAUAAUUUUUAUCCUCUCUGAUGAUGUGUGCCCAAGGCCUCCAUGAGCUGGCUAACAUUUGAAUUUCAACCCUUUCAAAAGUUCUCUUAACAAAUGGACCUUUUCACUUCCUCACAAAAAAAAGA